This 561-nucleotide unclassified non-coding RNA is filed under the name Hevea brasiliensis (rubber tree). Lineage: Eukaryota; Viridiplantae; Streptophyta; Magnoliopsida; Malpighiales; Euphorbiaceae. The record is from RNAcentral.
GAAACAGACCCUAAGGGGGAGCAGAGUCUGAAAACACAACGUAAGACACUUGUGGGGGAAGUUCCUCCAUCCAAAUGACUGCUCUGACAUCAAAACUAAGAGCCAAUUUGGCAAGGUAGUGAGCCACAUUAUUAGCCUCGUGGUACACAUGAGACCAAGAGAACAAGGAGCAACUCUGUGAGAGAUCCAAUAUUUGCAAGAUUCGAGUCGCAUACUAAGAAGACAAUAACGUUUCUGUCUCUCGGACAAUGUUUUUGAAACCAGCCUCCAAUGCUCUACCGAGACCAACAAGGCUGCUUCUGCUUCGGCAUCAUCAACAGGGACAGUGAAGCUAGCUUGCAACAGCCAGUCAUUAAAACAUCACCACCAGAAUUAUGUGCAACCAUACCGAAGCCACAGAAACCAUCUCCUUGGAUUGCUGCAUAUCUGUGUUAAGUUUCACCAUAUCAGGUGGUGGUGGCACCCACUUGACAUUCUCCCGGGACAGUGUUAAGGCCUUCGAACCACCAUUAAACUGCUUGAAUUCUUGCAAUGGCGUUUUGUAUUUUACUGAUAUUGUCC